AAAAAAACAAAAAAAUCCCUGGGCCAACAGGACCAGGAUGAGGGCAGAUGGCCACAUUCCUAUACAGAUGCUCAGCUUCACAAGGAGAGCCACUGUCAGCUCCUCAGCACCCCUGACUCAUCAGCUUGGUGUCCUGUGUGCCUGUGGAGGGGGAGCCCUCUGGGCCAGCGAUUGGCUGGGGACAGCUAGCGUACCCGUGGGAAAAUUUUCUCAACUGCUCCAAAAGCAGCUUCCGGGAAGAUAAGGAAAACAUCAUCUCUGCCCACAAGGAGUGGGGCAGAUUGGAAUGCAGACCGGAAGUCAGCUGCGCUCAGGUCAGCUCUCCUGCUCUGGGGCUUUAACCAAAGCAACGCGGAGUUCUUCUCUCGGGAUGGAAAACAAAUUCCUUGGAAUACCGGUGAGGACGCGCUCAGCCCCUGGUUAUACUCGACCUGCCCCGGCUGUUCUCACGCUAAUCUAUUUUUACUCAGACUUGUUUUUACUACUUUAAAACUAAGCAAGGUGCGUGGGGAGGAGAUGGCUCAGCAGUUAAGCGCACGAGCUGUUCCUCCAGAGGACCUGGGUUUGGUUUUUCAGCACUCAGCCAGGACACAAAUGUCUGUAAUUCCAAUUCCAGGGGAUCCAAUCUUCUUUUGUGGCUUCUGUGGACAGCAGGCAUGCGAAUAGGGCACAGACAAAAUACUCAUACACACACAAAAAUAAAAUAAAUAAUCGGGUUCAUU
This 722-nucleotide long non-coding RNA is filed under the name Rattus norvegicus (Norway rat). RNAcentral describes it as "long non-coding RNA NONRATT027961". The record is from RNAcentral. Lineage: Eukaryota; Metazoa; Chordata; Mammalia; Rodentia; Muridae.